GACAUAGGUGGCGAACGUUAUCCGGAAUUAUUGGGCGUAAAGGGUGCGUAGGUGGUUUAACUAGUUAUCGGUGGGAAAUCGGGGCUCAACCUCGUGGAAGUCGGUAAUACUGUUAAACUAGAGGGUCGGAGAGGUUAACGGAAUGCUAUGUGUAGCGGUAAAAUGCGCAGAUAUCAGGAGGAACACCGAUGGCGAAGGCAGGUCUCUGGGCCACUACUGACGCUGAGAAGCGAAAGCAUGGGGAGCGAACAGG
Molecule: ribosomal RNA, 253 nt
Filed under: uncultured bacterium
Lineage: Bacteria
Description: partial 16S ribosomal RNA
Rfam family: Bacterial small subunit ribosomal RNA
Source: RNAcentral